This is a long non-coding RNA of Thrips palmi, 2832 nucleotides long. RefSeq lists it as uncharacterized. NCBI's taxonomy places the organism in Eukaryota, Metazoa, Arthropoda, Insecta, Thysanoptera, Thripidae. The record is from RefSeq and is a predicted model, not a curated record. The transcript has 3 exons.
UGUGCGACGACAAUCAGAUAUUUAUAAAGCGCUCGUGCUAUUGUAGACCGCGUCCUGGACGCGUCUGCUCGUUUUGUUUCAGUUCCAUCUUUGUGGAGGUUAUGCGAACUACCUAAAGAAUUCAGGGUUAUAUUAUUUUCUCCCACCUGUCACUCUGUAAUUUUGAAAGAAUAUGGAAUUUUUUAAGAUUGGUGUGAGGCCUGUAGGGUUAUGUCCUACACAUUGAGGCUAGACUCAAGGCUGUGCUCGAUAUAACAUAAUAGUGGCUUUCUGGAUUUCCUACCUCAAGUACAAAGCAUGGGAUAAGCUGUUGAUAUUUGCACACCCAUAGUUCGUUUCUACUGCAAUGUCACUCAGAUAUUGUCUGUAGUUCUAGUUUAUGAAGUGAAAAGUGUGACAGUGGUGAAGGCAUUCCAAAUUACAUCUGCUUUUCUUUGUACGGCCCUCUUGGGUGGAACUGGGCAUGGAAAGAAACACGAUUUUCCAUUCUCUCGUGGGUGAGUAGCUACAUUGCUUUAUGUUGAGCCUCUUGGGUGGAACUGGUCUGGAGAGAAACAUGAUUUGCUAUUCUCACUUGGGUGAGUUGCUAAGUUGAAUAAGGAAUAGUUCCACCCCUUCCAUUAUUUACCUCUGCUUUUUAACAGCUGAUUUAAAACUACGAAAUAGCUAAUUUUCACUCUGGACUAUUCAAAUAAGGCCAAAUUAGCAGGACUGGGAGUGCCAUUUGGAGCUCGCUUUGCUCAUUAAAUGUGUGCAGUGAAGUAUCUACCCCCUGUACAGUGCCCUAGUUAUAGAAAAUAAUUUUCUUUCAAGUGCAUGACUAUGAAGUGACUUGUUAUAGUUUUUGUUUGUGUAAAGUAAAUAUAUAUUUUUUUGUCUUGUAUUUUAUGCUGUCAAACAAUAAUAAUUGAGACCUGGCUGCAUUCACUCUGUUCUUUGCUCUGCCAGGAGUCUUGACUCUUUGUUGCCUCUUUUGAGGCAACUAGUUUAUGUUCUGUUAUUUAGAGGCUUGAGUACAUCUGUGAAUUGUUUUGUGCACUUUGUUUCUUUUAGCCUGGAUGAUAGUAUUUUUAGAGGGGAAAGAUCUGCUGAAAUUACCGUCACCAUCACUAGCUUCAAACUAGAGUGUAGCUUGUUGACAGAUAAACAACAGUCUUGUCUGUCUCUUCAGUUAUCCUCUCCAGUGAGAGGACUAGAGAAUGCGGAUAAUUGCUUCAUCCUUUGAAGUACUUGGAGCAUUCCCAAAUGCAAUAAACUGCUGACCUCCUCAAGACAGCGGUGAAAUGAGAAGCCUAUGGUCAUGGUGUCCUUUGGAUUUCAUGCAGGGAGAAGCAGUGUGUUUUAUUAAGAGAGAGCUGCAUGGUAUUAUACCUCUUGCUGUAAUGUGGAUGAAUCGACAGUGCAAAAGAAGAGGAUAGGGAAUCUCUUUUCAACAGUUGUCCGUGACUUUGUAUCAGACUGGUAUUAAUCUGGGAUUUAUUUUGGGAGAAACUGUCAGGUAACAAAUGCUUAUAGUUUCUCUUGAGUCUGUUAUGCAAUGCAAUAUUUCUCGGUUUCCCAUGUGAAGAAAAUAAUUUUUAUUGUCUGUCUGUUUUUUAAUGUGUUUAUAUCGUUUAACUGAAAUUGAUCAUGUAACAUUACUUUUAUCUAGCAUUCUGUAGUAUCUUUAUCUAAAGUAAGCUUGGCAACAUUGCCCUUCCAUCUAAUGGUCAUGACUGUACGGCACAGGAAGAUGUAUUAGAUUGAGCAUAUGGUAGCUGUCAACCUUUUUCUGGCUCUUUUCUGGGCUCAGGUAGUCGUUUCUGUGUGGCCUGAGUAAAUUCUCUGCAGUUACACUUCCUUCGGCUGUGUACAUUGGUCUUUGGUCAAUUAUUCCAAAUAGUCCUUGAGCCCCCUCAUUACUUGGUCCACGAAGUUUGUUGAUUAUUUUCUACAGUCUGUAGUGGCACAAUUAGCUUGUGUCACUAAUUUAGGACAAUGAAUGAUGUGUGUAAUGUAUUCCAAUAUUCUGUGAUUAUUUAUGUACACCUGUGUCUCCUGAUUUAUUUGAAUGUUAUGUCCAUGGCAUGGCAAUCGUGUCAUUUUAUAUUGACUGGCUCUGUUUGGACUUUGUAGUGUCACAAUUGUGUUUUUAUCACUCAAGUUUGCUCACCCAGUACGUGUGGUUCCUGGCUCAUAUUACCAAUGUCGAUUGGAAUUAUCUUUGAUGUAAUAUCUGUUUGCGAAAAAUUUUUCACUUAAGCAAGCUGCUUUGAAAUGUUGGUUUUAUUUAGUUGUGUUGAGAGUAGCUGUUUGGCAUGGUUUUUUUUUGCAUGUGUUGUUUUUGAGUUGUCUUUAAUUCAAGGACAAUAUAUCUCCAUUUGUUUCAUUUCUCAGCUUAGAAUUUGCUGAUAUCUUGUCUUAGCAUUUCAGCUGCUGUGAGUAAAAACUCUUGCACUUUGAACUCUAAGUUAUUUUUGUCAAACUAGUUUACUACUUGCACAUUUUUCUGCUGUUUGUAUCAAGUAAGUUAAUGCCUGCUGAUUUAGUUAAUGUAUCAGUUUAAGUUUUAACUCACCAUUUGGACUUGUAUACUUUCUGAUGAGUUUUGGUACUUUGAAUCAUACCCUCUGCUGUAUUUUCUGAUUAAUUAGUUCAUAAAUCUCAAGAUUAUUCCUGAAUCUUUACUGUUGUUAGUUGUCAUUCAUCUUUUCUCUGGUCUAUAGCUGAGAUCAUGGUCAUCUCUAUCCAUGUUUCUGUCUUGCCUAAACCCAUCUACGGACAAUUUUAUGGGCAGAUGAAGAUUGUUUCCAAUGUCUUUGAUGUGCAGGAGUACUUGUUGUGUGUGGGGAA